GCUGAAGUGGCGGAAUAGGCAGACGCGCAUGAUUCAGGGUCAUGUGGGCAAAAGCCCGUGGGGGUUCGACUCCCCCCUUCAGCACCA
Molecule: transfer RNA, 87 nt
Filed under: Bacillota bacterium
Lineage: Bacteria; Bacillati; Bacillota
Also listed under: 3 other names
Description: tRNA-Leu
Rfam family: tRNA
About the family: Transfer RNA (tRNA) molecules are approximately 80 nucleotides in length.
Source: RNAcentral